Molecule: unclassified non-coding RNA, 251 nt
Filed under: uncultured fungus
Lineage: Eukaryota; Fungi
Description: sequence contains ITS1
Source: RNAcentral
UUAAUUGAUUUGUUUUUUUCUCAGACUGCAUGUAUACAGAGUUUGGCCUCCGACGAACGGAGGGCAGACGUCUCCCGCAAGCCGUGAAAACUCACAGCUUCGCAAGAGGCCGCCCACCCCGCACAGAUCCUCGCGUUACAAGUAACCCGACAACCCACAUCCGUCAAAGCAACGGGGUAAUACACAAGGGUGGAGACCGUGAAAAAUCACAGAACUCGGUAAUGAUCCUUCCGCAGGUUCACCUACGGAAA